GAUGAACGCUGGCGGCGUGCCUAAUACAUGCAAGUCGAGCGAACAGACGAGGAGCUUGCUCCUCUGACGUUAGCGGCGGACGGGUGAGUAACACGUGGAUAACCUACCUAUAAGACUGGGAUAACUUCGGGAAACCGGAGCUAAUACCGGAUAAUAUAUUGAACCGCAUGGUUCAAUAGUGAAAGACGGUUUUGCUGUCACUUAUAGCUGGAUCCGCGCCGCAUUAGCUAGUUGGUAAGGUAACGGCUUACCAAGGCAACGAUGCGUAGCCGACCUGAGAGGGUGAUCGGCCAAACUGGAACUGGAACACGGUCCAGAAUCCUACGAGAGGCAGCAGUAGGGAAUCUUCCGCAGUGGGCGAAAGCCUGACGGAGCAACGCCGCGUGAGUGAUGAAGGUCUUCGGAUCGUAAAACUCUGUUAUUAGGGAAGAACAAAUGUGUAAGUAACUAUGCACGUCUUGACGGUACCUAACCAGAAAGCCACGGCUAACUACGUG
This 497-nucleotide ribosomal RNA is filed under the name uncultured bacterium. RNAcentral describes it as "partial 16S ribosomal RNA". It matches the Rfam family "Bacterial small subunit ribosomal RNA", at positions 28 to 507 of the family's 1533-position model. The record is from RNAcentral.